Molecule: long non-coding RNA, 2498 nt
Organism: Astyanax mexicanus (Mexican tetra)
Lineage: Eukaryota; Metazoa; Chordata; Actinopteri; Characiformes; Acestrorhamphidae
Exons: 2
Source: RefSeq, a predicted model, not a curated record
CUUAUAAAGUAGAGUCACCUGGAAUUCAGGCUUUCAGUUAACAGCUGUGCUGAACUCAUCAAGAGUUAAUUUCUUGAAUUUCUCGUAUCUUAAUAAAGUGUUUGAGAGCAUCAGUUAAAGUAAAGUAGUGAAGAGGUAGAGUUACAGGUAUACAGUGAAUAGUGAAUAUUUGAGUAAUGCUCGAAUCCAGAUUAUGAGAAGCACAAACUACUCAACUAAAUAAAGAAAAUAAUUCUUCAAGUACUUUGAAAGUAUCCUCAAGUGCAAUCGCAAAAAAAAGACAAAACGUUAUGAUGAUGAUGAUGAUGAAACUGGCACUAAUCAGGACCGCCCCAGGAAAGGAAGAGCAAGAGUUUCCUCUGUUGUUCAGGAGUUUAUGUAGAGUUACCAGCAUUAGAAACCACUAGUUAACAGCUUCCCAGAUAAGAGCACCGUAAAGCUUUAUAGAUUAUUUUGGUAUGUUUAACACUUUUUUAAUUUACUACAUGAUUCCUUAUUUAUUCAUUUACAAUGUAGAAAAAAAGAAUUGAAUUAAAUGAGAAGGUGUGUCAAAUCUUUUGACUGGUUCUGGUACAUAUUUUAUCUUAGGGUGUACUCACACUAGGCAAUCUGUGCCAUGUAUGGCAACUAUACCAUGCCCUGGCCAGCUUGAAGGAAAAGCACCCCCUCUCGGGAGUGUGCGCUAUGUCGCUGUGUAUGUAUUCGUGACUGAGAUAACCGUGACGUAUUUCUAAGUAAGUUAAAGCAGAUUAUCUCCGCUUUUAUCAAGAAAGCACACUCCUGAGAGAGGGUGCUUUGCAUGGCAGGGGUGCUGAAUUUGGCGCAACACCAUCAAAGCCCGCUGAGCAGUGAGUAAUGAUGUAAGAGUGCUCGGGCACGGAUUGAAUAUUGAAGAGUGUGGAAAGUGUGUAGGCCAGCAGGAAAAUGGGGAGUGUGAGUUCACCCUCAAAAUUACAAUAAUAUAGUUUAUCAUCAUUAUUUCUGACGAUAUAUCAAAAAGAUUUCUAGUUAUUGUGACGGGCUAAAGGAUGAGGCAAGGUCAGAUAAACAGUAGCCUUGUUGUCAAGGAUACGAUUACCAGUAUUUAUACCAUGCAUUUUUUUCAUAAACAUCGAAUGUAAUAAUACUGUAUAUCCAUGUAAAUUAUCUAACAGUUAAAAAUGUUAUUUUUUAAGAAUGUAAUGAGAUGUUUGGUCGAUGCAUGAGGAUUGAGUGCUGUGUACACAGUGGUCGUGGAUCAUCAGCACCAUUUAUCAGUUUUAACUUUCAGUUUCUGCUGUAAUUUUAGUCUAAAAUCUGAACAAAUUCCUGUCUAAAGCAUUAUGCAAGCAAGUUUCUCACUUUCUCCACUUUUUCAAUUAGGUGGUCUAGAGAAAAAAAAAUGAUGCGUUCCAUUUAAGCUCUGAUUUUGGACUUUACUUGUUCCAAGAACUACUUUAUUUGGACGAUAUUUUGAUUUUAAUACCCUUGUAUGUAGGCAUAUCAUGAUAAUUAUCUCAUUGACUUAUUCAGUUUAAAAGUUGACAAAAGUAUUUCAACCACAAUUUGUAUACUUGAAUUAAAGUUACAUGUUUUACGAUUAAAAAUUUCCAGAUUUUAAAAAUUUAAAUCCAUGAAUUUUCAGAUUUAAAAGAAAUCAGAUUCAUGAAUUGUCAGAUUUUUUUUUUCUUUUUAAGAAAUCAGAUAUAUGCAUUUAUAAAUUUAAAAAUACACAUUUUAAUCUCUUUGUUCAAAACUCAUGGGCUAGUUUUGAGUCAAUUUUUGAGUAGAUUUUAAACUUAAACAGAAUUUUUAUAUCUAAAAAUGCAUGCAUCUAAAUUCUUUCAAUCAUAAACCAUGAAUUGUUAUUUUUAAAAGUCCAAAACGUUUAUUUUAAUGUUUUUCUAAUUCUAAUGUAUGAAUUACACUAUUAUUUUUUUUUUUUUGAUGAAUGUUAUGUUAUUGCUUUGGUGUUUGUAUCUUAAUCAGAAAUCAUAUAAAACCUUAUAAUAAGGGUCACAAAUAACAGCAGCUAAGAAACAGUGAUCGGCAUUAUUAAAGUGUUAAGUAAUGAAUCACUAAUUAAGACAUUAUUAAACAUGACUACAUUUUAAUGCUAUAGAAUGUUGUAAAUAUAAAUGAAUUUACAUAAUAUUAGUUAUUCAAAUAUUGCAAUAAUUAAUCAUGUCUUAACUAGUGCCAGUUAAUAAUAAAUUGAGAUAAUCUUAUUUUAAAAUCUUUAUAAUCGUAUUAAUUUUCCAGAAACUCUGAAAUAAAUCUGAGGUAAAUGGAACGCAGCAUUAUUCUUUUUUUCUACUCUCAUCUGAUUGGGCGGUUAAUAGGGACCUAUCUUGAACAAUCCGUGCAUUUAUGUUCUAUCAGUUGAAAACUGUAACUAAUGGGUGCUUGUCAUUUUACCGUUAUUAUUAUAAUUUUUUUUUUAUUAAAUAGAUGUUCAUUUCUUUACGCUGUUUUGUUGUGGGUGUGUUUUUUUGGUGUAAUAAACUGGAUUUAUAAAA